This 297-nucleotide ribosomal RNA is filed under the name Triticum aestivum (bread wheat). Its description in RNAcentral is "partial small subunit ribosomal RNA". Lineage: Eukaryota; Viridiplantae; Streptophyta; Magnoliopsida; Poales; Poaceae. The record is from RNAcentral.
AUGUCGGGGUUCUCAGGGGCAUCUUCCGCUCCCGGAUUCCGUCGAGCUAGCGGAAGGAGGGAGGCUGAGUCGAGGUCGUCGGUGCCAUACCGCAAGGGCGCCAUGGCGUACAAGCCACCGAAGCUCUACCACUGCAAUCCGCGAAGGAAGGCGCCGAGGUGGAUAUCGUGGAGCCGGCAGAACCCCGGGAGGAGGUACUACGCCUGCGUCCAUGCACUGGUGAGCUCCAUUUUCCAUCUCCUUCCUUUGUUCUUGCAGUGCUCAGUAAAUCUGAUUCAUUCCUUUGUGUUCAUUUGA